CCUACGGGGUGCAGCAGUAGGGAAUCUUCCACAAUGGGCGAAAGCCUGAUGGAGCACCGCCGCGUGGGUGAAGAAGGUCUUCGGAUCGUAAAACCCUGUUGUUAGAGAAGAAAGUGCGUGAGAGUAACUGUUCACGUUUCGACGGUAUCUAACCAGAAAGCCACGGCUAACUACGUGCCAGCAGCCGCGGUAAUACGUAGGUGUCAAGCGUUAUCCGGAUUUAUUUGGCGUAAAGGGAACGCAGGCGGGCUUUUAAGUCUGAUGUGAAAGCCUUCGGCUUAACCGGAGUAGUGCAUUGGAAACUGGGAGACUUGAGUGCAGAAGAGGAGAGUGGAACGCCAUGUGUAGCGGUGAAAUGCGUAGAUAUAUGGAAGAACACCAGUGGCGAAAGCAGCUCUCUGGUCUGUAACUGACGCUGAGGUUCGAAAGCGUGGGUAGCAAACAGGAUUAGAUACCCUAGUAGUC
Molecule: ribosomal RNA, 465 nt
Filed under: uncultured bacterium
Lineage: Bacteria
Description: partial 16S ribosomal RNA
Rfam family: Bacterial small subunit ribosomal RNA
Source: RNAcentral